AGGAGAACCAAUAGACUGCAGGUAGAGCUCCUUUAAGCCGUUGAAGGAUUGGGCACCGGUAACGUCCCUAGGAGGUACGUUGCCCCUAAAAACAUCAAUCAUUAGCCUCAAGAGGCUCAAUCUUUCAAACAACAACCGAGUAACCCUUAUGCCUCAACCUAGGAUCCAAAACCCGCAUACAAAGAAAACCUAACAAACAAUAACACCAAACACAACAAACUCAAAUCCCAUGAAAGUACUCUCUCUAAUGAAGCUCCGAUUUGUCACAGUACCAUUUAACAAAACAUUAAUUACACCCACUUGGCUGUGGGGAGAGUCGACCCAUCACUGGACAAAGAGAGAAGCUCCCCUUGCCCAGUAAGGGCAGGAGAAGCUGCAAGAUCGGCACUGAAAAAUGCCUAGAGCGCAAAGUAAGGAAGAAAAACCAGAGAAACUUUACCUCCCACCUACCUCUCUCUAUACUUCAUUUAUUUAAAAAAUUAAUUACUGAGAUUUGAAUUUUUUAUUUUUUCUAUAAUAUUUAGUUGGACUUCUGGAGAUGGUUAUGACUCGUCAGCCAUUAUGGUAAGUGACAGAGGGACAUUAAUUCCGGCAUUUGGUCUGAUCUUACGCUUUCUUGCCCCUUGAGUCGUUACCCACACAACAAUGUUU
This 651-nucleotide unclassified non-coding RNA is filed under the name Hevea brasiliensis (rubber tree). The record is from RNAcentral. Lineage: Eukaryota; Viridiplantae; Streptophyta; Magnoliopsida; Malpighiales; Euphorbiaceae.